UACAGAGGUCUCAAGCGUUGUUCGGAUUCAUUGGGCGUAAAGGGUGUGUAGGUGGCGCGCUAAGUCAGGUGUGAAAGCUCCCGGCUUAACUGGGAGAGGCCAAUGGAUACUGCCAAGCUUGAGUAUAGGAGAGGUUACUGGAAUUCCCGGUGUAGCGGUGAAAUGCGCAGAUAUCGGGAGGAACACCAAUGGCGAAAGCAGGUAACUGGACUAUUACUGACACUCAACUGCGAAAGCUAGGGGAGCAAACAGG
This 253-nucleotide ribosomal RNA is filed under the name uncultured bacterium. RNAcentral describes it as "partial 16S ribosomal RNA". It matches the Rfam family "Bacterial small subunit ribosomal RNA", at positions 524 to 776 of the family's 1533-position model. The record is from RNAcentral.